CCAGGGGGCCGGGCAGCCGCGUGCCGCAAGGUACGAGGAAAGUCCGGGCUCCACGAAACAAGGGUGGCGGGUAACGCCCGCCCGGUCGCUGUCCUCGGAUGGCGGCCGAGGGAAAGUGCCACAGAGAGCAAACCGCCGAUGGCCUGCUUGCAGGUCCAGGCAAGGGUGAAAGGGUGCGGUAAGAGCGCACCGGGGCUUCGGCAACGCGGCCCGCAUGGCAAACCCCACCCGGAGCAAGGCCGAAUAGGGACCCCGCGCCAGAACUGGCAGGAACGCUUCGUUCCGA
Molecule: RNase P RNA, 286 nt
Filed under: Erythrobacter sp.
Lineage: Bacteria; Pseudomonadati; Pseudomonadota; Alphaproteobacteria; Sphingomonadales; Erythrobacteraceae
Description: partial RNase P RNA component class A
Rfam family: Bacterial RNase P class A
About the family: Ribonuclease P (RNase P) is a ubiquitous endoribonuclease, found in archaea, bacteria and eukarya as well as chloroplasts and mitochondria. Its best characterised activity is the generation of mature 5'-ends of tRNAs by cleaving the 5'-leader elements of precursor-tRNAs. Cellular RNase Ps are ribonucleoproteins.
Source: RNAcentral